CAGGGCUACUACACUCUGUGGGCCAGUCACUUCUCAGAACACCAGAACUCAGGCUGUGGCAGACCUAGGGGCCCUGAAGCCUCGCCUACCACCACCGGCACUGAUCUCUGGCAUGAAGACUUUAGGGGUCCUAGCUGUGGUGGUCAAGCCAGCUUCUCCUGAGAACCACUGCUGUAAAGAACAAGAUUGUGUCACAUGACGAUGCUCAACAAGGUUCAAUGGUUAAAUGAAGGAAGAAAACAAGAGGACUUUGGCAUAAGAUGCACAGCGAAGAAGAAAUAUAUAUGCUGGGCUUGCUGAAGAAGCUGUAAAAGCGAAAACAGAGCCCCAAAGGUAAUAUACUUUGCUCUCUGUGAAGCCCUUUGACUUGAAGAAAUAGUGAUCUAAGAUAAUGUCCUGCCAUCCAGAAGAAUUGUAGGCACGGGAGAGAUUGAAAUUGGUACUAAAAUAAAUUCUGAAGCCAAGAUAACAACAACAACAACAACAAAGAUAUCAGAUCUAAUAUCCCACCCAAUUUCUGAGUUAAGCCAGUGACAGGUAUAUUUCGAAGCAAGACUAUUUAGACACAUUGAUUUUUGUUGUCACUUUCUUCUUAUUUCAUAUGUCACAUCAAGGCUUGGAAAUCGGAUGAAUGUAAGAAGGGUCCGCUGAUCACUGUUCCUCAGGAGGAAUUUUCAAAGUCAGCUAGCUGUGCUUGAUGAAAGUGGUCCUGCAUAGAGCUCCACUCUGCCUGCAGGGAAGUUUAGGCAAACUACACUUUACCACUUCACUCCUAUUACUAGGAUUCUUGGUUGUCAAGGAGGCAUCUAUUUAACUGAAGUCUGGUAAAUCUCAAAAGUAAAGUAUUAGGGAGGAAAAAAAGCUUAAAUCAUCUUUUUUCCUCUUACUUCAAAGUCCUUUUAAAUGAACAUGCAACUCCAAUUCUGGUAAACAAAUUUUAUGAAGUAAGUCGUGCAGGUAAUGCGUUCUUCAAUUGUAUGCUUCCAGGAUAACAUGUUGACAUCCAAUCUUUGUGUUUUGAAGAGUUUGUAAUAAUAAAUAGAAAUCAAUGCUGGAGAGUGAAGGGUGCAUCAAUUAUAUUUCUUUUAUCUCAAAGAUUCUUUCCAUGUUGUAUCUAUCCUUCCUCGUGAAAUUUUUUUCACAUUGUAAAGUGUACUGUAGCUUAAUUGGCAACAUAGAUGCUGAGUGCUGAUCAAGUCUAAAUUAUAUUUGACAGAAAUGAAACUGGCUUUAUUUUAUGUGAAAUAUAAAAUAUUAUCAUGGUCCUUGAGUUUGAAAAGGGAGAUUGUGCGUGUGUGUGUG
Molecule: long non-coding RNA, 1302 nt
Filed under: Homo sapiens (human)
Lineage: Eukaryota; Metazoa; Chordata; Mammalia; Primates; Hominidae
Description: HSALNT0225450
Source: RNAcentral